GCUCAGUAACACGUGGAUAACAUGCCCUAAAGCGGGGGAUAAUCUCGGGAAAUUGAGGAUAAUACCCCAUAGAUCAUAGGAUCUGGAAUGACUUAUGGUCGAAAGUUCUGGCGCUUUAGGAUUGGUCUGCGGCCUAUCAGGUAGUAGUGGGUGUAACGGACCCACUAGCCUACGACGGGUAUGGGCCUUGAGAGAGGGAGCCCAGAGAUGGAUUCUGAGACACGAAUCCAGGCCCUACGGGGCGCAGCAGUCGCGAAAACUUCACACUGGAGGCAACUCCGAUGAGGGAAUUCCUAGUGCUAGCACAUUAGUGUUAGCUUUUCUCAAGCGCAGAUAACUUGAGGAAUAAGGGCUGGGUAAGACGGGUGCCAGCCGCCGCGGUAAUACCGGCGGCUCGAGUGGUGACCACUUUUAUUGGGCUUAAAGCGUUCGUAGCUUGAUUUUUAAGUCUCUUGGGAAAUCUCACGGCUUAACUGUGAGGCGUCUAAGAGAUACUGGGAAUCUAGGGACCGGGAGAGGUAAGAGGUACUUCAGGGGUAGAAGUGAAAUUCUGUAAUCCUUGAGGGACCACCGAUGGCGAACGCAUCUUACCAGAACGGCUUCGACAGUGAGGAACGAAAGCUGGGGGAGCGAACGGGAUUAGAUACCCCGGUAGUCCCAGCAUAAACUAUGCGCGUUAGGUGUGCCUGUAACUACGAGUUACCGGGGUGCCGAAGUGAAAACGUGAAACGUGCCGCCUGGGAAGUACGGUCGCAAGGCUGAAACUUAAAGGAAUUGGCGGGGGAGCACCACAACGGGUGGAGCCUGCGGUUUAAUUGGACUCAACGCCGGGCAGCUCACCGGAUAGGACAGCGGAAUGAUAGCCGGGCUGAAGACCUUGCUUAACCAGCUGAGAGGAGGUGCAUGGCCGUCGUCAGUUCGUACUGUGAAGCAUCCUGUUUAGUCAGGCAACGAGCGAGACCCACGCCAACAGUUGCUAGCAUGUUCUCCGGAAUGAUGAGGACACUGUUGGGACCGCCUCUGCUAAAGAGGAGGAAGGAAUAGGCAACGGUAGGUCAGCAUGCCCCGAAUUAUCCGGGCUACACGCGGGCUACAAUGGUCAGGACAAUGGGAAACGGCACUGAAAAGUGUAGUCAAUCUCCUAAACCUGUCCCAAGUUCGGAUUGUGGGCUGCAACUCGCCCACAUGAAGCUGGAAUCCGUAGUAAUCGCGUUUCAAAAUAGCGCGGUGAAUAAGUCCCUGCUCCUUGCACACACCG
RNAcentral lists this ribosomal RNA (1258 nucleotides) under uncultured methanogenic archaeon. Its description in RNAcentral is "bacterial SSU rRNA". It matches the Rfam family "Archaeal small subunit ribosomal RNA", at positions 88 to 1348 of the family's 1478-position model. The record is from RNAcentral. Lineage: Archaea; Methanobacteriati; Methanobacteriota.